RNAcentral lists this ribosomal RNA (727 nucleotides) under uncultured Bacteroidota bacterium. RNAcentral's name for it is "bacterial SSU rRNA". It matches the Rfam family "Bacterial small subunit ribosomal RNA", at positions 9 to 736 of the family's 1533-position model. The record is from RNAcentral. Lineage: Bacteria; Pseudomonadati; Bacteroidota.
GAGUUUGAUCCUGGCUCAGGACGAACGCUGGCGGCGGGCUUCAUACAUGCAAGUCGAACGAGAACGUGUCCUUCGGGGCGCAAGUAAAGUGGCGCACGGGUGGGUAACGCGUGGGCAACCUACCCUUGAGUGGGGAAUAACCAUCGGAAACGGUGGCUAAUACCGCAUAUUGUCCUGUGUUGCAUGACGCAGGAUGAAAGUCUUCGGGCGCUCAGGGAUGGGCCUGCGUCGGAUUAGUUAGUAGGUAGGGUAACGGCCUACCUAGGCAACGAUCCGUAGCUGGUCUGAGAGGACGAUCAGUCACACUGGCACUGAGACACGGGCCAGACUUCUACGGAAGGCAGCAGUAGGGAAUCUUGGGCAAUGGGCGCAAGCCUGACCCAGCCACGCCGCGUGGAGGAUGACACCCCUAGCGGGCGUAAACUCCUUUUGUACGGGAAGAAGGCCUCCUUGAAGGAGGAUUGACGGUACCGUACGAAUAAGCCCCGGCUAACUACGUGCCAGCAGCCGCGGUAAUACGUAGGGGGCAAGCGGUACCCGGAAUCACUGGGCGUAAAGUGCGCGUAAGCGGUUGGAUAAGUCUCUUGUGAAAGCUCCGGCUCAACUGGGAGAGGUCAAGGCAUACUAUUCGACUUGAGGACAGCAGAGGUAAGCAGAAUUCCCGGUGUAGCGGUGGAAUGCGUACAUAUCGGGAGGAACACCAGUGGCGAAGGCGGCUUACUGGCUG